CGCGCAAACAUAAACAUACACGGAGCGCCAACAGACCAACAUGCCACAGUGACUGACCAACAACACGGUAUUUACCAACAACACAAGCUUCAGGGCCAGUGUGACAAAUCAUGCAGCGCAGCGCAAAGCGGUUCACGUCUGUGAACUGGCGCUUGCGACGAGCCUCGUCAGCCAGCUCCAACGCCUGCGCCAGGAUGACAUCUUCAGACGUUGAGAAGAUGGUCUGUGGCGGGCAAUCUGUUCCAGCAGUGAAAGCUGGAGAAGCAGAAGCGAAAUGAGAGGAAAUCAUACCAAGACAAACUCAGCAAGGAUGCCAGGAACCGUUAUUUGGAUAAAUGAUCAUCUGUUAACAGCAUUGAUAAGCUAAGUUGGUUGUGAGCGUGUGGAACAGCGACCAUGUUGCACUUGUAGUGGUAAAUGUUUGUAUUAUGUUGCUUAUUUUGCACAAAGAGUUUUUAGUUUUUUGUCUGUGUCUAUUUACAAGUACAAAUAAAGUACAUAUAUUUAAAUUUUA
Molecule: long non-coding RNA, 514 nt
Organism: Trichomycterus rosablanca
Lineage: Eukaryota; Metazoa; Chordata; Actinopteri; Siluriformes; Trichomycteridae
Exons: 3
Source: RefSeq, a predicted model, not a curated record